CGCGUAGGCGGAUUUUCAAGUCAGAUGUGAAAACUAUCGGCUCAACCGGUAGCCUGCAUUUGAAACUGUUGAUCUUGAGUACAGGAGAGGAAAGCGGAAUUCCAGGUGUAGCGGUGAAAUGCGUAGAUAUCUGGAAGAACACCAAUUGCGAAGGCAGCUUUCUGGACUGAUACUGACGCUAAAGCGCGAAGGCUUGGGUAGCAAACA
Molecule: ribosomal RNA, 207 nt
Filed under: uncultured bacterium
Lineage: Bacteria
Description: partial 16S ribosomal RNA
Rfam family: Bacterial small subunit ribosomal RNA
Source: RNAcentral